This 320-nucleotide small nuclear RNA is filed under the name Erinaceus europaeus (western European hedgehog). RNAcentral's name for it is "7SK RNA (ENSEEUG00000016873.1)". It matches the Rfam family "7SK RNA". From Rfam's summary of the family: 7SK was discovered as an abundant small nuclear RNA in the mid-70s but a possible function has only recently been suggested. Two independent studies have found that 7SK RNA binds the CDK9/cyclin T complex (known as elongation factor P-TEFb). P-TEFb activates transcription by phosphorylating the C-terminal domain of RNA polymerase II. Lineage: Eukaryota; Metazoa; Chordata; Mammalia; Eulipotyphla; Erinaceidae. The record is from RNAcentral.
GGAUGUGAGGGUGAUCUGGCUGUGACAUCUGUCACCCCCAUUGAUCACCAGGGUUGAUUCAGCUGAUCUGGCUAGCUAGGCGGGUGUCCUCUUCCUCCCUCACCGCUCCAUGUGUGUCCCUCCAGAAGCUGUGCAUUAGGUCAAAGAGGACGACCUUCCCAGAAUAGAGAAGGACCUAUCUUCAGUCAAGGGUAUACAAGUAGCUGUGCUCUCCUGCUAGAUUCUCCAAACAAGCUCUCAAGGUCCAAGCAGUUUUGAUGACAAUGUCCCUAUAAUACAAUUUGAGAUCUGGGAGUGUGAUGCCUUCUGUUCUGUUCUUU